This 253-nucleotide ribosomal RNA is filed under the name uncultured bacterium. RNAcentral describes it as "partial 16S ribosomal RNA". It matches the Rfam family "Bacterial small subunit ribosomal RNA", at positions 524 to 776 of the family's 1533-position model. The record is from RNAcentral.
UACAGAGGUCCCUAGCGUUGUUCGGAUUCAUUGGGCGUAAAGGGUGCGUAGGCGGCGCGGUAAGUCGGGUGUGAAAUCUCGGGGCUUAACUCCGAAACUGCAUUCGAUACUGCCGUGCUUGAGGACUGGAGAGGAGACUGGAAUUUACGGUGUAGCGGUGAAAUGCGCAGAUAUCAGGAGGAACACCGGUGGCGAAGGCGGUUCUCUGGGCAUGUCCUGACGCUGAGGAGCGAAAGUGUGGGGAGCGAACAGG